GCUAGCAUGGCCUAGUGGUUUGAGUGUUGGACUACGACUCUGGAGACCAGGGAUUGAAUCCCUGCUUGAUCA
Phrynosoma platyrhinos (Desert horned lizard) is the source of this 72-nucleotide non-coding RNA. The record is from the annotation of a GenBank genome assembly. Lineage: Eukaryota; Metazoa; Chordata; Lepidosauria; Squamata; Phrynosomatidae.